ACUCUGAGCAGUGGAUCACUCGGCUCACGGGUCGAUGAAGAACGCAGCUUGCUGCGAUAAUUGGUGUGAAUUGCAGGUCAAAAUGA
RNAcentral lists this ribosomal RNA (86 nucleotides) under Nephila pilipes (giant wood spider). Its description in RNAcentral is "partial 5.8S ribosomal RNA". It matches the Rfam family "5.8S ribosomal RNA", at positions 2 to 87 of the family's 154-position model. From Rfam's summary of the family: 5.8S ribosomal RNA (5.8S rRNA) is a component of the large subunit of the eukaryotic ribosome. It is transcribed by RNA polymerase I as part of the 45S precursor that also contains 18S and 28S rRNA. The record is from RNAcentral. Lineage: Eukaryota; Metazoa; Arthropoda; Arachnida; Araneae; Nephilidae.